RNAcentral lists this ribosomal RNA (253 nucleotides) under uncultured bacterium. RNAcentral's name for it is "partial 16S ribosomal RNA". It matches the Rfam family "Bacterial small subunit ribosomal RNA", at positions 524 to 776 of the family's 1533-position model. The record is from RNAcentral.
UACGGAGGGUGCAAGCGUUGCUCGGAAUCAUUGGGCGUAAAGCGUACGCAGGCUGUUUGCUAAGUCGGGUGUGAAAUCCCGGGGCUCAACCCCGGAACUGCGCCCGAAACUGGCAGACUUGAGUGCGGGAGAGGGAAGCGGAAUUCCUGGUGUAGAGGUGAAAUUCGUAGAUAUCAGGGGGAACACCGGUGGCGAAAGCGGCUUCCUGGCCCGACACUGACGCUCAUGUACGAAAGCGUGGGGAGCAAACAGG